Molecule: ribosomal RNA, 492 nt
Filed under: uncultured bacterium
Lineage: Bacteria
Description: partial 16S ribosomal RNA
Rfam family: Bacterial small subunit ribosomal RNA
Source: RNAcentral
AGUGAACGCUGGCGGUAUGCCUAACACAUGCAAGUCGAACGGCAGCACAGUAAGAGCUUGCUCUUACUGGUGGCGAGUGGCGGACGGGUGAGGAAUACAUCGGAAUCUACUUUUUCGUGGGGGAUAACGUAGGGAAACUUACGCUAAUACCGCAUACGACCUACGGGUGAAAGCAGGGGAUCUUCAGACCUUGCGCGAUUGAAUGAGCCGAUGUCGGAUUAGCUAGUUGGCGGGGUAAAGGCCCACCAAGGCGACGAUCCGUAGCUGGUCUGAGAGGAUGAUCAGCCACACUGGAACUGAGACACGGUCCAGACUCCUACGGGAGGCAGCAGUGGGGAAUAUUGGACAAUGGGCGCAAGCCUGAUCCAGCAAUACCGCGUGGGUGAAGAAGGCCUUCGGGUUGUAAAGCCCUUUUGUUGGGAAAGAAAAGCAGCAGGUUAAUCCCCCGCUGUUCUGACGGUACCCAAAGAAUAAGCACCGGCUAACUUCGUG